This 1366-nucleotide ribosomal RNA is filed under the name uncultured bacterium. RNAcentral's name for it is "16S ribosomal RNA". It matches the Rfam family "Bacterial small subunit ribosomal RNA", at positions 28 to 1399 of the family's 1533-position model. The record is from RNAcentral.
GACGAACGCUGGCGGCGUGCUUAACACAUGCAAGUCGAACGAAGCUUGAUUACGGAUUCUUCGGAUGAAGUAUGAUAUGACUGAGUGGCGGACGGGUGAGUAACGCGUGAGUAACCUGCCCUUCAGAGGGGGAUAGCGUUUGGAAACGAACGGUAAUACCGCAUAAUGUAUUUUGACCGCAUGAUCGAAAUACCAAAGAUUUAUCGCUGAAGGAUGGACUCGCGUCUGAUUAGGUAGUUGGUGGGUAACGGCCUACCAAGCCGACGAUCAGUAGCCGGACUGAGAGGUUGAUCGGCCACAUUGGGACUGAGACACGGCCCAGACUCCUACGGGAGGCAGCAGUGGGGAAUAUUGCACAAUGGGCGCAAGCCUGAUGCAGCAACGCCGCGUGAAGGAAGACGGUUUUCGGAUUGUAAACUUCUGUUCUUAGUGAAGAAUAAUGACGGUAGCUAAGGAGCAAGCCACGGCUAACUACGUGCCAGCAGCCGCGGUAAUACGUAGGUGGCAAGCGUUGUCCGGAAUUACUGGGUGUAAAGGGAGCGCAGGCGGGUGAUCAAGUCAGCUGUGAAAACUACGGGCUUAACCCGUAGACUGCAGUUGAAACUGUUCAUCUUGAGUGAAGUAGAGGUUGGCGGAAUUCCGAGUGUAGCGGUGAAAUGCGUAGAUAUUCGGAGGAACACCGGUGGCGAAGGCGGCCAACUGGGCUUUAACUGACGCUGAGGCUCGAAAGUGUGGGGAGCAAACAGGAUUAGAUACCCUGGUAGUCCACACUGUAAACGAUGAUUGCUAGGUGUGGGGGGUCUGACCCCUUCCGUGCCGGAGCUAACGCAAUAAGCAAUCCACCUGGGGAGUACGACCGCAAGGUUGAAACUCAAAGGAAUUGACGGGGACCCGCACAAGCAGUGGAUUAUGUGGUUUAAUUUGAAGCAACGCGAAGAACCUUACCAGCACUUGACAUCCAACUAACGAAAUAGAGAUAUAUUAGGUGCCCUUCAGGGAAAGAUGAGACAGGUGGUGCAUGGUUGUCGUCAGCUCGUGUCGUGAGAUGUUGGGUUAAGUCCCGCAACGAGCGCAACCCUCGCCAUUAGUUGCUACGCAAGAGCACUCUAAUGGGACCGCUACCGACAAGGUGGAGGAAGGUGGGGAGGACGUCAAAUCAUCAUGCCCCUUAUGUGCUGGGCUACACACGUAAUACAAUGGCCAUCAACAGAGAGAAGCAAUACCGCGAGGUGGAGCAAAACUUCAAAAAUGGUCUCAGUUCGGACUGCAGGCUGCAACCCGCCUGCUCGAAGUUGGAAUUGCUAGUAAUCGUGGAUCAGCAUGCCACGGUGAAUAAGAUCCCGGGUCUUGCACUCUCCGCCCGUCA